This 700-nucleotide ribosomal RNA is filed under the name uncultured bacterium. RNAcentral describes it as "bacterial SSU rRNA". It matches the Rfam family "Bacterial small subunit ribosomal RNA", at positions 656 to 1345 of the family's 1533-position model. The record is from RNAcentral.
GGUAAGCGGAACUCUCGGAGUAGCGGUGAAAUGCGUAGAGACCGAGAGGUACCCCGAUGGUGAAGACAGCUUACUGGGCGUCUCCUGACGCUGAAGCGCUAAGGCCAGGGGAGCAAAGGGGAUUAGAUACCCCCGUAGUCCUGGCUUCAAACGAUGUGGGCUUGGUGUCGGCCCCCUAUAGAGGGUCGUUGCCGGAGUUAACGCGUUAAGCCCACCGCCUGGGGAUUACGUCCGCAAGGAUGAAACUCAAGGGAAUUGACGGGGGCCCACACAACCGGUGGAGCACGUGGUUUAAUUCGACGAUAAGCGAAGAACCUUACCAGGGCUUGACCAGCGGUAGUAGAACCCCGAAAGGGGAACGACCUCAAGCUUUGCUUGAGGAGCCGUGGCAGGUAUUGCAUGGCUGUCGUCAGCUCGUGUCGUGGGACGUUGGGUUAAGUCCCGUAACGAGCGCAACCCCUGCCCUUAAUUGCCAGCGGGUAAUGCCGGGUACUAUAAGGGGACUGCCGGAGAAUAUCCGGAGGAAGGAGGGGACGACGUCAAGUCAUUAUGAUCCUUAUGCUCUGGGCGACACACGUGCUACAAUGGGCACUACAAUGAGGAGCAAAUCCGCAAGGACGAGCAAAUCUCAAAAAGGUGCCCCCAGUGCGGAUUGGGGUCUGCAACUCGACCCCAUGAAGAUGGAAUCGGUAGUAAUCGC